Cynoglossus semilaevis (tongue sole) is the source of this 1842-nucleotide long non-coding RNA. RefSeq lists it as uncharacterized. Lineage: Eukaryota; Metazoa; Chordata; Actinopteri; Pleuronectiformes; Cynoglossidae. The transcript is spliced from 3 exons. The record is from RefSeq and is a predicted model, not a curated record.
UCACACUGGGGAACGUUAAAAUACAAAGAAGGUGGAAUAUUGAAAAAGGACGGAAACGUUCCUCUAACACUCAUUACAACCGUUGCACCAGGUGUGUGGAACCGGAAGACGUUCCGUGCGGGUCGAAGCAACAGACGGAGUAGCGAACCCAGAUUUACCGACCACCGGCGAGCAGAGUCGCUAACCUACACUCGACCAGUUGACGGGUUUCAGCGCCAAACUGGAAGCUGAGUUCCUAUAAACGCCUGGAUUGUUAAAACGUUACAUCUUUGCAGCAGAUGUUGACCAGACGGAAUAUUUUCCUUCGGGUAAGACCCGAUGACAUUCUUGGAAAUCACAAACUGAAAAUCUGUGACAGUGAAAAUCGCUGCAGUGGCAUUGUGGGUAACCCCGGUUUAUUUAGACUGGGUGUGAAGAUCCAUCACAAAACCAGGAGCAGGAGCGCUGUGGUUCACACGAAGAUCUGUCUGAGCCUCAGCAGGUUUGGAACAAACGUGGAAAAAUAACUGGACCUGAAAACCUUCUCAGGCCCAACCAGACCUGGUUGUGUGCGAGACACCGUAAACUUGAACACGUUAUUGUGUUGAUGUGGAAAUACAUGAGUGCUUGAGUGUCUGAGACUUUCAGAGGAAGACAUUUCUAUUUAUGGUCAGGUGCUGCUGUCCGUCCUCAGACUGUCCUUUUGUAACAAAGGGCUGUGUGUUUAUUAGGACUGGUCAAGUUAACUCGUUAUUGUCAUAGCACAGUAAUAAACACCAACAAUUAUGCUUUUUUCUGUUUUUUUUUUUCUUAAAGGUCUAUAGUCGUAGGCUUUGAAUACACACACAGACAAUCAUAGAUCCUGGCGAGGAUCACGGGGAGGAUUGUGGAUCAGCACUGGAUUAGUUCCAAUGGGCAGUUCUCCCGUCCAUCCCAGGGUCACCGAUUGAGCGAUACAACUAUUUAAACUCACGUUCACACCAAAAACCCAUGCACACAGGAAGAACAGUGAUCGGACCAGAUCUUGCUUCCACUGUGAGGCCGCUGCAGAUUUUGUUUGAUCUGAACAAUAAAAAAAAAACCAACACAUUUUACAGGAAGAGAAGUGAAAUUGAGACACAUUGAGGCGAAGGGGAAAUUAGAUUUGAAGCGAAUGUUAUGAUGUGGAAUUGAUUCAGAGGAAAGACUUUUUAUUUUUAGUUUUAUGUUUCCUUUCAUGACGUCUUAUUACAUGAGCAGACUCAAACAUCCUGGGGUGCAGGUUUGACUCCUGGGUCACUUUCAAGCGCACAGCAGUCAGGUCAGUGUUGAACUGCAGCUCCGACUCUUUGAAGUUGACCCCGUUGCACAUUUACAUCUCCGAGUCUUCAAAUUGUUUGUCUUCUCGUGGCAUUAUUCCCGAGCCUGUUCUUCACCUCUGAUCGUAACGGCAACAAAAGAACUAAUAAAUGGAAGGGUUUGAUUUCCGACUGCCGUGCCAAACUCUGCAGGCUCACCUUCAGUAGAGCAGGGGUCAGGAGUUAGCGGCCCGGGGGCCCUAAAGGCUGAGGGCUCGGGGGCCGAGUGUUUACACACAGGGCGUUGCAUUAUUUAUCUUCUUCAUCAGUGGAGGAACAGAGUUAUUACAUCUGUGUCUAAGGCAACACAUGGAUGGAAACUCCUUUCUUUAAAAAGGAAUUUCAGAGUCUGCAGAGUCUUUGUGAUCGCAGCUGUUGAUGUUAGGACUUAAGUCUGUCGUCAGAUUAUUGACUUAAAUAAUGAAUGCGUUAAAAUUAGAGCUGAGGUGUGAUUAUAAUAUUCCAGUUUAAUCAGAGGAUUUUAAAUUUAUUUCAAUUAUCAAAAAGCAAUAUUUGAAAAAUCCAA